Molecule: ribosomal RNA, 254 nt
Filed under: uncultured bacterium
Lineage: Bacteria
Description: partial 16S ribosomal RNA
Rfam family: Bacterial small subunit ribosomal RNA
Source: RNAcentral
UACGUAGGGAGCAAGCGUUGUUCGGAUUUACUGGGCGUAAAGGGCGCGUAGGCGGCCACGACAAGUCACUUGUGAAAUCUCCGGGCUUAACUCGGAACGGUCAAGUGAUACUGUCGGGCUAGAGUACAGAAGGGGCAACUGGAAUUCUCGGUGUAGCGGUGAAAUGCGUAGAUAUCGAGAGGAACACCUGCGGCGAAGGCGGGUUGCUGGGCUGAUACUGACGCUGAUGCGCGAAAGCCAGGGGAGCGAACGGG